Molecule: ribosomal RNA, 492 nt
Filed under: uncultured bacterium
Lineage: Bacteria
Description: partial 16S ribosomal RNA
Rfam family: Bacterial small subunit ribosomal RNA
Source: RNAcentral
GGGGGGGGGGGGGGGGGGGGGGGGCGGGGGGGGGGCGGGGGGGGGCGGCGUAGGAGCUUGGUCGGGCGGGUGGCGGGGGGCGGGCGGGUGCGGAAUACAGCGGACUCUGCUUUUUCUUGGGGGAGGCCGGAGGGAAACUUAGGCUAAUACCGCGGACUACCUACGGGUGGACGCAGGGGGUCUUCGGCCCUUGCGCGCUUGGCUGCGCCGAUGUCGGAUUAGCUAGUUGGCGGGGUAAAGGCCCACCAAGGCGACGAUCCGUAGCUGGUCUGAUAGGAUGAUCAGCCACACUGGAACUGAGACACGGUCCAGACUCCUACGGGAGGCAGCAGUGGGGAAUAUUGGACAAUGGGCGCAAGCCUGAUCCAGCCAUACCGCGUGGGUGAAGAAGGCCUUCGGGUUGUAAAGCCCUUUUGUUGGGAAAGAAAAGCAGCAGGUUAAUACCCCGCUGUUCUGACGGUACCCAAAGAAUAAGCACCGGCUAACUUCGUG